Molecule: long non-coding RNA, 972 nt
Organism: Syngnathus typhle (broad-nosed pipefish)
Lineage: Eukaryota; Metazoa; Chordata; Actinopteri; Syngnathiformes; Syngnathidae
Exons: 2
Source: RefSeq, a predicted model, not a curated record
AGCAGUCAGCUCUGCCUUGGAGUCCACACUGGCAGAUGCUGACGCCAUAACUACUAUGAGGAAUGACAGGAAAGUUGCCGUUCAAUUCAAAACCUCCACCCUCACUGUUAAAAUCUGCCUCAUGUGUAACAGCUAGUGCAGUAGUCUCCAGGGACUACAACUGUCAAGACCGCAGGAAUGAUCAAAACCAACCAAACAACAAGGAAGUACAUGAAAGCAGUCAGUUUGAUUGCAGGCAGCAUCACGUUAUGCAUUUCUUCGCACCCAGAUGAUGUAAACAACAUGCGUCCUUUGAGUCGCUGCGCCUUGGCUAAACAAGCCAGCUAACUGGAGUCGGGCUACUCAUGACGAUGUAAAAGUGCUCACUUUAAAACCUACAGUUGGAUAUUCUUCCGACGUGUAUACCCGUACCGUGUAAAGUGAAACACUUUCAGAAUGUCGGAGAGCGCUCCGUUUAUUACAGCCAAUGUUGGCAUUAGCCAUGUGCUAGCGGCAUCGCUGGUAAACCUGGUUAUUUAGCUAGCUAACAUGCUAACUUCACCUCAAUGUUCCGUUCAGUUCCUCAGUUUUGUCAGAAGUUUCCAAGACCUAAUUAUGUCGAUACGGAUCCAAACCCGACUGCCGCAAGUUAACGGUACACGGGGAAUUUCACAGCCAAACCUUAAAGUGUAUAAUGUGGCUUUUUUGUUGUUGGUUUACUGUCAUUAUGGCGAACACGUUCCCGACGUCAUCGCAGCUGCGACAGUCCAUUUAUUAUGACGACAGCACACGAAGUAAAAUAUUAGAAAAUACAAUUUAUUCGAAUUUCUCAAUGAAUACAUGUUGUUCGAAUAUUUAUGCAAAAGCAUAAGCAGUCUUUCAUAAUUAUACAAAACAUUUAAAGUGAAAAAUAUACAUUUGUUUGAAAUAUUGUGACAGAAAUCAUACAGAAAAAUAAAAAAGUAAGAUAAAUUCAAUCUACAAUGCAUUUAA